Molecule: long non-coding RNA, 1881 nt
Filed under: Gallus gallus (chicken)
Lineage: Eukaryota; Metazoa; Chordata; Aves; Galliformes; Phasianidae
Source: RNAcentral
AGCGCGCCCCCUUUCCUCCGCCGGCGCCGGGCGUGGCCACAACAGCGAGUGGGCGUGGCCAAAAGCCGCGAGUGGGCGUGGCUCCGCGCUGUGAGGGGUCGCGCGUCCCGCGAGGGCGCGGUCCGCAGUGAGGGCGGGAAGGCGGGAGCGGCGCUCAGGCGGCGUCCCUCAGCGCGGGGCUGAGGCGUUACGGCCGCACCUCGGGGCCCGGCCCGGCCCCGCUGCGGCGAACAGGCUGAUAUUUCGGCCUUACUGAAGAGAAGGAUCUUUUCAGCCGCAGUACAAAGCGUUCCCUUCAGUUAAGUUAAUUGCAGUCCCUACGUUCGCUGGGCCGGACCAUGCCCCAUCCCACCUCCCUUCCCUCAGCGCUGUGCAUGUCAUCCAGCUAACGGCCCAAUGGAUGGAGGAAUGGGGCAAAAAUAAAGGAUGGUGGAAAAGCCUCACUUAGGAAGGGGCCAGAAGAAGUAGAGGCCGCACUGCUCGGGUUUGGCUGUGCGUUGUUACAGCAGAUGGACAGAGCCACAUUUUGGGAAGCAGGCACGGCCCAGAGCGAAUACGAAUCACAAUUCAUCACCACAGAGCCACGAAGAUUGGAAAAGCACUCCCAGAUCCCCUCCAUGCCCACUGAGCGCGUCCCUCAGUGCCACAUCCCUACAGCUCUGAGUGCGGGGACUCCACGCAGCCCUGAGGGCCGAGCGAUCUGCGCUUCGGCAGAACAGCAGCACGGAACCUUCCAGAAACAGAAACCUGCAGCCUCCCACCUCCUUCGCUGCCCCCUGCAGAAGUGCUGUCUCUAAUUGCUGACCCGCUGUUGCCCUCUGGUCUUUUUCAACCACGUACACUAGGGGGGAAUAAGACGUCGUCAGAAUAAUUCCCGUGUUUUCCUUCAGCGACUUAUUAGCAUAGCAAAUCACUGCCUCUGCGUUACAGCGCCGCGAACAUAAUAGUUCCACCUACGGGAAAAUAUUCUCAGCACUGAUGUCAGCUGCUUUAUAUAUGUCGCCGUAUCGUUACAAAGGAAACUGAUCUGAGGCCGCAGGUUUGUGGACGACAGGGAGAUGUGAUGCUCCCAUACAAAGCUGAGGAGACAAAGUGAACAAGGCAAUGGCUGAAGAGCAGCUCUGAACAGGAACACAGGAGCUCAACCUAAAUGUCUGAACACUUAGCCAUGUGAGCCCAAUACUGACUGGUGCUGGGCACCCCAAGGCAUUUAAAAGUAGACACAUGGGGUCCACUUUCUGCACUGUCCUCUUCAACAGGGGCCAAAAGUGGAUGCUUCAGCAUGGGCACAUGGAGUGGUUCCCCCAGGUCUUAGGGCAGUCUGCAACGUUUCUGGCUGUAGGACCUCUUGAAGCAGAUGUGAUUCCAAUCUAUUUAUGCUGCGUGCGCAGGCUCUGUACAGUGCAUUAAACUCAGCUGGGUGCCCUCCAAGUAGGAACCCACUGCUCCAAGUCAGUGCUUAGGUUUGAAAUCCCUGCGGACUGAACAGAAAGCAUCUUUGCUUGCCACCCCAACAGCCUCUUCUGCAUUCUGCAAGGAGCCAGACCCAUUGGAACACACAAGGUUUGUUCUGAAAACGCCUUUGGGACACACAGGCACGCUUGGUUCCUGCAUCCCAGCUGUUCAGGCUUUAUGUACAGCACCAACCCGCCCUGACCUGCAGGGCUGCAGAAGCACAACAGCAGGGAAUAAAUACGUGCUUUGUGAUCCUUCUUCUGCCAUCAGCAUUGCAUUUGGACACCAGCAUUACCCUCCAUCUGAGCAACAGCUGACACAGGGACUUGCAAACACAACUUCAGAGGAGGAAGGAGAACCAGGGUGAGUAAAAGCAGCUUCAUUUCCUGCACACACCUGCUCAGGGGCGCAAUGGGCAGACAACGC